RNAcentral lists this ribosomal RNA (501 nucleotides) under uncultured bacterium. Its description in RNAcentral is "partial 16S ribosomal RNA". It matches the Rfam family "Bacterial small subunit ribosomal RNA", at positions 30 to 523 of the family's 1533-position model. The record is from RNAcentral.
AUUGAACGCUGGCGGCAUGCCUUACACAUGCAAGUCGAACGGCAGCACGGGUGCUUGCACCUGGUGGCGAGUGGCGAACGGGUGAGUAAUAUAUCGGAACGUACCUUAUUGUGGGGGAUAACGCAGCGAAAGCUGUGCUAAUACCGCAUAAUCCCUAAGGGGGAAAGCGGGGGGCCGUAAGGCCUCGCGCAAUUAGAGCGGCCGAUACCUGAUUAGCUAGUUGGUGAGGUAAAGGCUCACCAAGGCAACGAUCAGUAGCUGGUCUGAGAGGACGAUCAGCCACACUGGGACUGAGACACGGCCCAGACUCCUACGGGAGGCAGCAGUGGGGAAUUUUGGACAAUGGGGGCAACCCUGAUCCAGCAAUGCCGCGUGAGUGAAGAAGGCCUUCGGGUUGUAAGGCUCUUUUGUCAGGGAAGGAACAGCAGCUCUAACACAGUUUGCGAAUGACGGUACCUGAAGAAUAAGCACCGGCUAACUACGUGCCAGCCGCCGCGGUAA